UACGUAGGGUGCGAGCGUUAAUCGGAAUUACUGGGCGUAAAGCGUGCGCAGGCGGCUUUGCAAGACAGAUGUGAAAUCCCCGGGCUCAACCUGGGAACUGCAUUUGUGACUGCAAGGCUAGAGUACGGCAGAGGGGGAUGGAAUUCCGCGUGUAGCAGUGAAAUGCGUAGAUAUGCGGAGGAACACCAAUGGCGAAGGCAAUCCCCUGG
RNAcentral lists this ribosomal RNA (209 nucleotides) under uncultured bacterium. Its description in RNAcentral is "partial 16S ribosomal RNA". It matches the Rfam family "Bacterial small subunit ribosomal RNA", at positions 524 to 732 of the family's 1533-position model. The record is from RNAcentral.